GUGUGUGAGUGAGUCUUGGGGAGAAAUGAGCAGCAGCCCCGCCCGCUGCAGAGAGCCGACAGGAUUGAAACAGCAGUCAGCUUUUAGCGUCUUUAUAGUAAAACAUCGUUACAGCGUACAUUGGUGUUAAAAUGCGUACAGAUUGGCAGGACGGUCUGAAUUGUUUUGCACGGUCUAUCGCU
Long non-coding RNA from Sander lucioperca (pikeperch), 182 nucleotides. RefSeq lists it as uncharacterized. The transcript is spliced from 3 exons. The record is from RefSeq and is a predicted model, not a curated record. Lineage: Eukaryota; Metazoa; Chordata; Actinopteri; Perciformes; Percidae.